CGAGGGGUGCAAGCGUUGCUCGGAAUUAUUGGGCGUAAAGGGUAGGUAGGUGGUCUCAUUUGUCAGGGGUGAAAGCCUUGGGCUUAACCCAAGAAGUGCCCCUGAAACGGUGAGACUAGAGUGCUGGAGAGGGUCGUGGAAUUCCCGGUGUAGCGGUGAAAUGCGUAGAGAUCGGGAGGAACACCAGAGGCGAAGGCGGCGACCUGGACAGCUACUGACACUCAACUACGAUAGCGUGGGGAGCAAACAGGAUUAGAUACCCUGGUAGUCCACGCUGUAAACGAUGAGUACUAGGCUUGGUGGGUUUUGACCCCUGCCGAGCCGGCGCUAACGCAAUAAGUACUCCGCCUGGGAAGUACGGUCGCAAGACUA
This 372-nucleotide ribosomal RNA is filed under the name uncultured organism. RNAcentral describes it as "bacterial SSU rRNA". It matches the Rfam family "Bacterial small subunit ribosomal RNA", at positions 526 to 896 of the family's 1533-position model. The record is from RNAcentral.